This 207-nucleotide ribosomal RNA is filed under the name uncultured bacterium. Its description in RNAcentral is "partial 16S ribosomal RNA". It matches the Rfam family "Bacterial small subunit ribosomal RNA", at positions 568 to 774 of the family's 1533-position model. The record is from RNAcentral.
AGCGUAGAUGGAUGUUUAAGUCAGUUGUGAAAGUUUGCGGCUCAACCGUAAAAUUGCAGUUGAUACUGGAUAUCUUGAGUGCAGUUGAGGCAGGCGGAAUUCGUGGUGUAGCGGUGAAAUGCUUAGAUAUCACGAAGAACUCCGAUUGCGAAGGCAGCCUGCUAAGCUGCAACUGACAUUGAGGCCCGAAAGUGUGGGUAUCAAACA